RNAcentral lists this microRNA (22 nucleotides) under Zea mays. RNAcentral describes it as "miRt18". Lineage: Eukaryota; Viridiplantae; Streptophyta; Magnoliopsida; Poales; Poaceae. The record is from RNAcentral.
UUGGAUGUCGAUAUUGAGGGCA